GGGUUGUGAGGUUAAGCGACUAAGCGUACACGGUGGAUGCCCUGGCAGUCAGAGGCGAUGAAGGACGUGCUAAUCUGCGAUAAGCGCCGGUAAGGUGAUAUGAACCGUUAUAACCGGCGAUUUCCGAAUGGGGAAACCCAGUGUGAUUCGUCACACUAUCAUUAACUGAAUCCAUAGGUUAAUGAGGCGAACCGGGGGAACUGAAACAUCUAAGUACCCCGAGGAAAAGAAAUCAACCGAGAUUCCCCCAGUAGCGGCGAGCGAACGGGGAGGAGCCCAGAGCCUGAAUCAGCAUGUGUGUUAGUGGAAGCGUCUGGAAAGGCGCGCGAUACAGGGUGACAGCCCCGUACACAAAAGCGCAUGUGCUGUGAGCUCGAUGAGUAGGGCGGGACACGUGGUAUCCUGUCUGAAUAUGGGGGGACCAUCCUCCAAGGCUAAAUACUCCUGACUGACCGAUAGUGAACCAGUACCGUGAGGGAAAGGCGAAAAGAACCCCGGCGAGGGGAGUGAAAAAGAACCUGAAACCGUGUACGUACAAGCAGUGGGAGCCCCACCACUAAG
This 561-nucleotide ribosomal RNA is filed under the name Salmonella enterica subsp. enterica serovar Typhimurium. RNAcentral's name for it is "partial 23S ribosomal RNA". It matches the Rfam family "Bacterial large subunit ribosomal RNA", at positions 1 to 592 of the family's 2925-position model. Lineage: Bacteria; Pseudomonadati; Pseudomonadota; Gammaproteobacteria; Enterobacterales; Enterobacteriaceae. The record is from RNAcentral.